Molecule: ribosomal RNA, 212 nt
Filed under: uncultured bacterium
Lineage: Bacteria
Description: partial 16S ribosomal RNA
Rfam family: Bacterial small subunit ribosomal RNA
Source: RNAcentral
CAGUUCAGAUUGCAGGCUGAAACUCGCCUGCAUGAAGUCGGAAUUGCUAGUAAUCGCAGAUCAGCAUGCUGCGGUGAAUACGUUCCCGGGCCUUGUACACACCGCCCGUCACACCAUGGGAGUCGGUAACACCCGAAGUCGGUAGCCUAACCGUAAGGAGGGCGCCGCCGAAGGUGGGAUUGAUGACUGGGGUGAAGUCGUAACAAGGUAGC